CAGUGGUGUGAUUGAUCCUUUGACCUACGGUAUGUUAGCUAUUCGUAGCGAGGCUACUUAGUUUGACUACACGUUCUCUUGAUCUCAAGCUAUUUAGAAAAUUGUAGGUUCAGGCUCGCUGUUUGAAGUAGGAUGCACUUAGAUGGAAUCUAUCGAUCUUGGCAGAAAAAGAGAAGUCCUAUACGAUUCGUAAGACUGAGUUCAAAAAAUCUCUAACCAGAGUAAAUGUGAAUACUAAAAAAGAGUUUUCAUAAGAUUCAUAGAUGAACUUGAGUCAAGUCAAUCUAGCAUAUGACUGACGAUG
Molecule: long non-coding RNA, 304 nt
Filed under: Elaeis guineensis (African oil palm)
Lineage: Eukaryota; Viridiplantae; Streptophyta; Magnoliopsida; Arecales; Arecaceae
Description: long non-coding RNA (EGUI_LNC046694)
Source: RNAcentral